This is a non-coding RNA of 363 nucleotides. It matches the Rfam family "Bacterial RNase P class A". Rfam says of the family: Ribonuclease P (RNase P) is a ubiquitous endoribonuclease, found in archaea, bacteria and eukarya as well as chloroplasts and mitochondria. Its best characterised activity is the generation of mature 5'-ends of tRNAs by cleaving the 5'-leader elements of precursor-tRNAs. Cellular RNase Ps are ribonucleoproteins. The record is from Rfam.
CGAGUCGGUCGGGCGAUCGCUGCCCGGAUGCCAGUGAUGGCAACCGGGGAGAGGAAAGUCCGGGCUCCACAGGGCAGGGUGCCAGGUAACGCCUGGGGGGCGCGAGCCUACGGAAAGUGCAACAGAAAGGAUACCGCCGCGCACUUCGUGUACGCGGUAAGGGUGAAAAGGUGCGGUAAGAGCGCACCGCGCGGCUGGCAACAGGCGCGGCGAUGGUAAACCCCACCUGGAGCAAGACCAAAUAGGAAUCCGCACGCUGCGGCCCGCAGUGGAUUCGGGUAGGUCGCUAAAGACAGGCGGCGACGCCUGUCAUAGAUGAAUGAUCGUCCUCGACAGAACCCGGCUUACAGACCGACUCUUUUU